UUUUUCAAUUUAUGUUCUUCAGUAGACACAGAUAUACGUGAGUACCAAAAUAACAUUUGUGAGAAGUUUAUUCAUCUGAUUGAUUGAGAGAGAAAUCACCAUGGUUGAUGCAGCUCUAAUUAGUGGUUUGGUUUCAAAUUUGGCACCUCUGAUUAAUGAUGAAUUCUCUUUGUUUUGGAGUUUUAAGAAGGAGGUUCAAAAGCUAUCGAGCACUCUAUCUGCAAUUAAUGCCGUACUCAAUGAUGCUGAGCGAAAGACCGUGCGGGAGAAGGACGAACAAACGGAAGAUUGGUUGCGAAAACUUAAAGAUGUAUUGUAUGAAGUUCGGGACAUCAUAGAUGAUUGCAGAUUUGAAGAUCUUCGUCUUCAAGUCAAAAGGCGUAAUGCCUUCUCUUCAACCCGGAUCAAGGUAACCAAUUUUAUCACCCAUCCUUUUAGCAAUACUAAGAUGCGUCUCAAAAUUGGUCACAAAAUUAAGGAUGUUCAAGAGAAGUUAGACCAAAUUUCUUCAGAGCGCCAAAAGUUACAUUUUCGUGAAUCUAUUCAUGACUCAAAAAUAGACAAUCUUACUAGUAGUUGGCGUGAAACCAUGUCUCUUCCUAGUUCUAGUAAAGUAUAUGGGAGAGAAAAGGAGAAGAAACAGAUUAUUGAUAUUCUACUCAAUAAUACAUCUAGUGUUAGUGUUGCUACAGAACUAUCUGUUUUGCCUAUUGUUGGAAUUGGGGGUCUAGGUAAAACAACACUUUCCCAAAUGGUCUUCAACGAUGACCAUGUUUCUAAGCAUUUUGAUCCCAAAAUCUGGGUUUGUGUUUCUGAUGAAUUUGAUAUUAAGUUGAUCAUCAAAGCCAUCAUAGGAGCAAAUAAUGAAACUUCCUUGGAGAUAUUGCAGAAAAUGAUUCAAGAUAAAUUGAGAGGGAAAAGAUAUUUGAUUGUAUUGGAUGAUGUUUGGAAUGAAAACGAAGAUGCAUGGAAUCAAUUGAGAUCUAUAUUAGAUUGUGGAUCAAACGGUGCGUUUGUCCUUACCACCACACGUAAAGGAAAUGUGGCAAAAAUAAUGAAAAACCAAAGCAUUCCACAUUUUGAAUUAUCAUCACUAUCUGAAGAUGAUUGUUGGUUAUUAUUCGAAGAACGUGCAUUUGAGCAUGGAAAACCAAAACCUCCAAACUUCAUUAAUAUUGGUAAAGAAAUAGCUAAAAAAUGUAAGGGUGUUCCCUUAGCAGCCAAGACAUUGGGAAGUCAAUUGGGGUUCAAGGGUGACGAAAAGGAAUGGUGCAGAAUAAGAGAUAGCGAGAUAUGGGAGAUAUCCCAAAAUGAAGAAUCUAAUCUCUUGCCUAUUCUAAGGUUGAGUUACUAUGACCUCCCUUAUUAUUUGAGAAGAUGUUUCGUACUUUGUGCUAUAUUUCCCAAAGAUACUAAAAUUGAAAAGGAGACAUUAAUCCAAUUGUGGAUGGCCCAUGGUUUAAUUCCUAAAGUUAAAAACCAAGAAAUGGAAGAUGUUGGGAAUACAAUUUGGAAGGAGUUGUGCUGGAGAUCAUUUUUUCAAGAUGAAAAUGAUAACAAAGAUUGGUAUGAUACAGUUUAUACAACUUGUAAGAUCCAUGAUCUUAUGCACGAUCUUGCGCAAUCUAUUAUGAGAGAUGAAUCUUAUACAAUAGAUGCUAAUAGCUCAAGUGAUGACUUAAGACAAGAAAUUCAUCAUGUAACAAUAAUGGUUCAUAAGUUAGACAAAACAUCAAUUUGUUCUCUUAAGAAAAUUCGAGGGUUGCAAUCAAUAAUGUUCAAAAGCAGUUAUUGUAAUGCCACAAAGGAUAUUUGGAGUGUAACUUCCACAAAGGAUAUUUGGAGUGUCUUGAAGGAACUCUCGUCUUUACGUGUCAUUGAAGUAAGACGUCAUGUGCAAUAUGAAGAUUUGAGUAAUGUGGGAUGUCUAAAACAUCUUAGAUACCUAGACAUUUCCUAUAGUCAGAUGACCUCAUUGCCUAAUAGUAUUUGUGAUCUCUUGAACUUACAGACUCUGAAACUCAAUAACUGUUUUAAGCUUGAAAGUUUGCCUAGAAAUAUGAUGGACCUUAUUAACCUGAGACAUCUCUAUUUGGAGGGUUGUAAUGGAUUAAAAUAUAUGCCUAGAGGUAUGGGGCAAUUGAAAUAUCUCAAUAGGUUAAGCUUGUUUGUGAUAGGCAAUGAGAAAAGAGAUUGUCAACUAGAUGAAAUAAAAGAAUUGGAUAUCGGAGGAUCUUUGACAAUUAAGAAUCUUGGAAGAGUUAGGGAUGAAUCUAUUACAAGAGGGAUAAGUAUGGCUACAAAGUCGAGUAUCAAUUCAUUGAAGUUGGAAUGGACAUCUGAUGAUGAAGCCGGUGAUAAUCAGAGCAAGAGUACUAGACAUGAGAAAAUAGGCGAAGCUCUAGAGAUUUCAACUACAAGGCUAAAGAUAUUGAGAAUGUAUGGUUACAAAGGUGUGAAUAUCCCUAAAUGGGUGAGAAAGCCAUCUCCUUCUCUAACACGCCUUGUACUUAAGGGCUUGGACAAUGUGAAUAAUAUUGCUACUAGCCAUGACAUGAAUGGAAUUGAAGUAGUACUGUCAUUCCCUUUCUUAAAGGUACUUACUAUUAGUAACAUGAAGAAUUUGAGGGAAUUGGUGUCUCCUACUAUUCAUAGUCCUGGAGCAUUCCCUAAUCUAUGCACACUGCAGAUAUCUUAUUGCCCAAAGCUAGGGGCCUUGCCACCGCAUCUCAAAGCCCUCAAACAUGUAAUUGUUUGGGGUGAUUGUUCGGAUGAGUUGUUAUAUAGCAUCUCAAAUCUUAGUGCUCUCACUCAUCUCUCUAUUCAGCAUAUGGAAGAAAGAUGUGUUUUAUUUCGGGCUGGUAAGGCAUUAAUGUUUGAUGAUGAGAUACGCUCAACUUUCCAAUCUCUUCAAUCAUUGUCUAUCUGGGGCUGCAAGAAGUUAAGGCGUUUGUUGGAUGAGGGAAUGAUAAUGCAAGAGACAUUAAAGAUUAGUGCUUGCCAGAACCAACAAAAGCAUCAACUACUUCAAGGACAACAAACAGAAAGAACAAGACCUGUCAUCAACCUCAUCAACUCUCUCAAUGAUUUGGAUAUUCAUUUUUGUCCGGAGUUGAUGAUAUCAGUUGAGGAAUUUGGAAACCUCAAUAUUAAUAAUUCACUACAGAGAUUGUUUAUCAAGGAUUGUCCUAAGUUGGUGUCCUCAAAUGAAGCGGACGAUGUUAUGGAACUCUUACGUUCCCUUCGAGCAAGACUUGAUCCUAUGAUGUUCCAUGUAGAUAUUCUAUUGCAUAAAGGAAGACAGAGAACAGAGCAGAGCAUAGUGUCCUCAUAAGCAAAAUUGAAAAUGGGCAAGUUAUUGUCGGUACAGCCAAACCUCAAACCGCCUGCUGCAACAUCGACAGAGACAAGACUUUCUAAGAAAAUGUGUAAUUCAAGAAUAUCUUGCAUACCAUACUCUGGAAAGGGCACAUCAAGUCUUGCUCGAAGGGAUGAUGAUGGUAUCUCAUCAUGAUCAAACAUUAAUGCUUUAUCAGCUGAAAAAAACACUUCUUUCAUCCAUUUCUUCAAUAUAAGAUCACUAAGAUUAUUUGAGAUGCUAUAUAACAGUUCAUUGGAACAAUAGUUAGUAUUUUGAGUGAUUUGAAAUGGGAAGACAAGUUCCUUAGGUUUGUUGCAAAAUCCAUAAUGGUUUUAUUUGCAAUCGCUCUAACCACAGCUGCGAAAUG
Molecule: RNA transcript, 3728 nt
Organism: Impatiens glandulifera
Lineage: Eukaryota; Viridiplantae; Streptophyta; Magnoliopsida; Ericales; Balsaminaceae
Gene name: putative disease resistance protein RGA4
Exons: 3
Source: RefSeq, a predicted model, not a curated record